RNAcentral lists this ribosomal RNA (468 nucleotides) under uncultured bacterium. Its description in RNAcentral is "partial 16S ribosomal RNA". It matches the Rfam family "Bacterial small subunit ribosomal RNA", at positions 28 to 507 of the family's 1533-position model. The record is from RNAcentral.
GACGAACGCUGGCGGCGUGCUUAACACAUGCAAGUCGAACGGAAAGGCCCUGCUUUUGUGGGGUGCUCGAGUGGCGAACGGGUGAGUAACACGUGAGUAACCUGCCCUUGACUUUGGGAUAACUUCAGGAAACUGGGGCUAAUACCGGAUAGGAGCUCCUGCUGCAUGGAGGGGGUUGGAAAGUUUCGGCGGUUGGGGAUGGACUCGCGGCUUAUCAGCUUGUUGGUGGGGUAGUGGCUUACCAAGGCUUUGACGGGUAGCCGGCCUGGGAGGGUGGCCGGCCUCCUGAGGCCUGCGGUACGGCCCAGACUCCAACGGGGGGCAGCAGUGGGGAAUAUUGCACAGUGGGCGGAAGCCUGAUGCAGCAGCGCCGCGUGCGGGAUGACGGCCUUCGGGUUGUAAACCGCUUUCGCCUGUGACGAAGCGUGAGUGACGGUAAUGGGUAAAGAAGCACCGGCUAACUACGUG